RNAcentral lists this transfer RNA (72 nucleotides) under Ictidomys tridecemlineatus (thirteen-lined ground squirrel). Its description in RNAcentral is "Spermophilus tridecemlineatus (thirteen-lined ground squirrel) tRNA". It matches the Rfam family "tRNA". From Rfam's summary of the family: Transfer RNA (tRNA) molecules are approximately 80 nucleotides in length. Their secondary structure includes four short double-helical elements and three loops (D, anti-codon, and T loops). The record is from Rfam by way of RNAcentral. Lineage: Eukaryota; Metazoa; Chordata; Mammalia; Rodentia; Sciuridae.
AGGGUUGUAGCUUAGUGGUAGAGCACUUGCCUAGCAUGUAUGAGGCACUGGGUUCAAUUCUCAGCACCACAA